RNAcentral lists this ribosomal RNA (279 nucleotides) under uncultured bacterium. RNAcentral describes it as "partial 16S ribosomal RNA". It matches the Rfam family "Bacterial small subunit ribosomal RNA", at positions 506 to 784 of the family's 1533-position model. The record is from RNAcentral.
UGCCAGCAGCCGCGGUAAUACGGAGGUUGCAAGCGUUGUUCGGAUUUACUGGGCGUAAAGGGAGCGCAGGCGGCUAGGUCAGUCUGAAGUGGAAGCCCGGGGCUCAACUGGGGAGGGUCGUUCGAUACUGCUUGGCUCGAAGAUAGGAGAGGGAAGUGGAAUUUCAGGUGUAGUGGUGAAAUGCGUAGAUAUCUGAAGGAACACCAGUGGCGAAGGCGACUUUCUGGCCUAUUCUUGACGCUGAGGCGCGAAAGCUAGGGGAGCGAACGGGAUUAGAUA